UGGGGAAUUUUGGACAAUGGGGGAAACCCUGAUCCAGCCAUCCCGCGUGUGCGAUGAAGGCCUUCGGGUUGUAAAGCACUUUUGGCAGGAAAGAAACGUCAUGGGUUAAUACCCCGUGAAACUGACGGUACCUGCAGAAUAAGCACCGGCUAACUACGUGCCAGCAGCCGCGGUAAUACGUAGGGUGCAAGCGUUAAUCGGAAUUACUGGGCGUAAAGCGUGCGCAGGCGGUUCGGAAAGAAAGAUGUGAAAUCCCAGAGCUCAACUUUGGAACUGCAUUUUCAACUACCGGGCUAGAGUGUGUCAGAGGGAGGUGGAAUUCCGCGUGUAGCAGUGAAAUGCGUAGAUAUGCGGAGGAACACCGAUGGCGAAGGCAGCCUCCUGGGAUAACACUGACGCUCAUGCACGAAGGCGUGGGGAGCAAACAGG
This 429-nucleotide ribosomal RNA is filed under the name Acidobacteriota bacterium. Its description in RNAcentral is "Acidobacteria bacterium partial 16S ribosomal RNA". It matches the Rfam family "Bacterial small subunit ribosomal RNA", at positions 355 to 776 of the family's 1533-position model. The record is from RNAcentral. Lineage: Bacteria; Pseudomonadati; Acidobacteriota.